This 2904-nucleotide ribosomal RNA is filed under the name Escherichia coli. Its description in RNAcentral is "23S ribosomal RNA". It matches the Rfam family "Bacterial large subunit ribosomal RNA". Lineage: Bacteria; Pseudomonadati; Pseudomonadota; Gammaproteobacteria; Enterobacterales; Enterobacteriaceae. RNAcentral also lists the same sequence under 1 other name. The record is from RNAcentral.
GGUUAAGCGACUAAGCGUACACGGUGGAUGCCCUGGCAGUCAGAGGCGAUGAAGGACGUGCUAAUCUGCGAUAAGCGUCGGUAAGGUGAUAUGAACCGUUAUAACCGGCGAUUUCCGAAUGGGGAAACCCAGUGUGUUUCGACACACUAUCAUUAACUGAAUCCAUAGGUUAAUGAGGCGAACCGGGGGAACUGAAACAUCUAAGUACCCCGAGGAAAAGAAAUCAACCGAGAUUCCCCCAGUAGCGGCGAGCGAACGGGGAGGAGCCCAGAGCCUGAAUCAGUGUGUGUGUUAGUGGAAGCGUCUGGAAAGGCGCGCGAUACAGGGUGACAGCCCCGUACACAAAAAUGCACAUGCUGUGAGCUCGAUGAGUAGGGCGGGACACGUGGUAUCCUGUCUGAAUAUGGGGGGACCAUCCUCCAAGGCUAAAUACUCCUGACUGACCGAUAGUGAACCAGUACCGUGAGGGAAAGGCGAAAAGAACCCCGGCGAGGGGAGUGAAAAAGAACCUGAAACCGUGUACGUACAAGCAGUGGGAGCACGCUUAGGCGUGUGACUGCGUACCUUUUGUAUAAUGGGUCAGCGACUUAUAUUCUGUAGCAAGGUUAACCGAAUAGGGGAGCCGAAGGGAAACCGAGUCUUAACUGGGCGUUAAGUUGCAGGGUAUAGACCCGAAACCCGGUGAUCUAGCCAUGGGCAGGUUGAAGGUUGGGUAACACUAACUGGAGGACCGAACCGACUAAUGUUGAAAAAUUAGCGGAUGACUUGUGGCUGGGGGUGAAAGGCCAAUCAAACCGGGAGAUAGCUGGUUCUCCCCGAAAGCUAUUUAGGUAGCGCCUCGUGAAUUCAUCUCCGGGGGUAGAGCACUGUUUCGGCAAGGGGGUCAUCCCGACUUACCAACCCGAUGCAAACUGCGAAUACCGGAGAAUGUUAUCACGGGAGACACACGGCGGGUGCUAACGUCCGUCGUGAAGAGGGAAACAACCCAGACCGCCAGCUAAGGUCCCAAAGUCAUGGUUAAGUGGGAAACGAUGUGGGAAGGCCCAGACAGCCAGGAUGUUGGCUUAGAAGCAGCCAUCAUUUAAAGAAAGCGUAAUAGCUCACUGGUCGAGUCGGCCUGCGCGGAAGAUGUAACGGGGCUAAACCAUGCACCGAAGCUGCGGCAGCGACGCUGAUGCGUUGUUGGGUAGGGGAGCGUUCUGUAAGCCUGCGAAGGUGUGCUGUGAGGCAUGCUGGAGGUAUCAGAAGUGCGAAUGCUGACAUAAGUAACGAUAAAGCGGGUGAAAAGCCCGCUCGCCGGAAGACCAAGGGUUCCUGUCCAACGUUAAUCGGGGCAGGGUGAGUCGACCCCUAAGGCGAGGCCGAAAGGCGUAGUCGAUGGGAAACAGGUUAAUAUUCCUGUACUUGGUGUUACUGCGAAGGGGGGACGGAGAAGGCUAUGUUGGCCGGGCGACGGUUGUCCCGGUUUAAGCGUGUAGGCUGGUUUUCCAGGCAAAUCCGGAAAAUCAAGGCUGAGGCGUGAUGACGAGGCACUACGGUGCUGAAGCAACAAAUGCCCUGCUUCCAGGAAAAGCCUCUAAGCAUCAGGUAACAUCAAAUCGUACCCCAAACCGACACAGGUGGUCAGGUAGAGAAUACCAAGGCGCUUGAGAGAACUCGGGUGAAGGAACUAGGCAAAAUGGUGCCGUAACUUCGGGAGAAGGCACGCUGAUAUGUAGGUGAAGUCCCUCGCGGAUGGAGCUGAAAUCAGUCGAAGAUACCAGCUGGCUGCAACUGUUUAUUAAAAACACAGCACUGUGCAAACACGAAAGUGGACGUAUACGGUGUGACGCCUGCCCGGUGCCGGAAGGUUAAUUGAUGGGGUUAGCGCAAGCGAAGCUCUUGAUCGAAGCCCCGGUAAACGGCGGCCGUAACUAUAACGGUCCUAAGGUAGCGAAAUUCCUUGUCGGGUAAGUUCCGACCUGCACGAAUGGCGUAAUGAUGGCCAGGCUGUCUCCACCCGAGACUCAGUGAAAUUGAACUCGCUGUGAAGAUGCAGUGUACCCGCGGCAAGACGGAAAGACCCCGUGAACCUUUACUAUAGCUUGACACUGAACAUUGAGCCUUGAUGUGUAGGAUAGGUGGGAGGCUUUGAAGUGUGGACGCCAGUCUGCAUGGAGCCGACCUUGAAAUACCACCCUUUAAUGUUUGAUGUUCUAACGUUGACCCGUAAUCCGGGUUGCGGACAGUGUCUGGUGGGUAGUUUGACUGGGGCGGUCUCCUCCUAAAGAGUAACGGAGGAGCACGAAGGUUGGCUAAUCCUGGUCGGACAUCAGGAGGUUAGUGCAAUGGCAUAAGCCAGCUUGACUGCGAGCGUGACGGCGCGAGCAGGUGCGAAAGCAGGUCAUAGUGAUCCGGUGGUUCUGAAUGGAAGGGCCAUCGCUCAACGGAUAAAAGGUACUCCGGGGAUAACAGGCUGAUACCGCCCAAGAGUUCAUAUCGACGGCGGUGUUUGGCACCUCGAUGUCGGCUCAUCACAUCCUGGGGCUGAAGUAGGUCCCAAGGGUAUGGCUGUUCGCCAUUUAAAGUGGUACGCGAGCUGGGUUUAGAACGUCGUGAGACAGUUCGGUCCCUAUCUGCCGUGGGCGCUGGAGAACUGAGGGGGGCUGCUCCUAGUACGAGAGGACCGGAGUGGACGCAUCACUGGUGUUCGGGUUGUCAUGCCAAUGGCACUGCCCGGUAGCUAAAUGCGGAAGAGAUAAGUGCUGAAAGCAUCUAAGCACGAAACUUGCCCCGAGAUGAGUUCUCCCUGACUCCUUGAGAGUCCUGAAGGAACGUUGAAGACGACGACGUUGAUAGGCCGGGUGUGUAAGCGCAGCGAUGCGUUGAGCUAACCGGUACUAAUGAACCGUGAGGCUUAACCUU